UACAGAGGGUGCGAGCGUUAAUCGGAAUUACUGGGCGUAAAGGGCGCGUAGGCGGAUUUGCAAGUGAGAUGUGAAAUACCUGGGCUUAACCUGGGAAUGGCAUCUUAAACUGCUGAUCUAGAGUACUGUAGAGGAUAGUGGAAUUUCCGGUGUAGCGGUGAAAUGCGUAGAGAUCGGAAGGAACAUCAGUGGCGAAGGCGACUGUCUGGACAGAUACUGACGCUGAGGCGCGAAAGCGUGGGGAGCGAACAGG
RNAcentral lists this ribosomal RNA (253 nucleotides) under uncultured bacterium. RNAcentral's name for it is "partial 16S ribosomal RNA". It matches the Rfam family "Bacterial small subunit ribosomal RNA", at positions 524 to 776 of the family's 1533-position model. The record is from RNAcentral.